GAUGAACGCUGGCGGCGUGCCUAAUACAUGCAAGUCGAGCGAACAGAUGAGGAGCUUGCUCCUCUGACGUUAGCGGCGGACGGGUGAGUAACACGUGGAUAACCUACCUAUAAGACUGGGAUAACUUCGGGAAACCGGAGCCAAUACCGGAUAAUAUAUUGAACCGCAUGGUUCAAUAGUGAAAGACGGUUUUGCUGUCACUUAUAGAUGGAUCCGCGCCGCAUUAGCUAGUUGGUAAGGUAACGGCUUACCAAGGCAACGAUGCGUAGCCGACCUGAGAGGGUGAUCGGCCACACUGGAACUGAGACACGGUCCAGACUCCUACGGGAGGCAGCAGUAGGGAAUAUUCCGCAAUGGGCGAAAGCCUGACGGAGCAACGCCGCGUGAGUGAUGAAGGUCUUCGGAUCGUAAAACUCUGUUAUUAGGGAAGAACAAAUGUGUAAGUAACUAUGCACGUCUUGACGGUACCUAAUCAGAAAGCCACGGCUAACUACGUG
This 497-nucleotide ribosomal RNA is filed under the name uncultured bacterium. RNAcentral describes it as "partial 16S ribosomal RNA". It matches the Rfam family "Bacterial small subunit ribosomal RNA", at positions 28 to 507 of the family's 1533-position model. The record is from RNAcentral.